This 465-nucleotide ribosomal RNA is filed under the name Vreelandella stevensii. Its description in RNAcentral is "partial 16S ribosomal RNA". It matches the Rfam family "Bacterial small subunit ribosomal RNA", at positions 338 to 795 of the family's 1533-position model. The record is from RNAcentral. Lineage: Bacteria; Pseudomonadati; Pseudomonadota; Gammaproteobacteria; Oceanospirillales; Halomonadaceae.
CCUACGGGAGGCAGCAGUGGGGAAUAUUGGACAAUGGGGGGAACCCUGAUCCAGCCAUGCCGCGUGUGUGAAGAAGGCCCUCGGGUUGUAAAGCACUUUCAGUGAGGAAGAACGCCUGGUGGUUAAUACCCAUCAGGAAAGACAUCACUCACAGAAGAAGCACCGGCUAACUCCGUGCCAGCAGCCGCGGUAAUACGGAGGGUGCGAGCGUUAAUCGGAAUUACUGGGCGUAAAGCGCGCGUAGGUGGCUUGAUAAGCCGGUUGUGAAAGCCCCGGGCUCAACCUGGGAACGGCAUCCGGAACUGUCAAGCUCGAGUGCAGGAGAGGAAGGUAGAAUUCCCGGUGUAGCGGUGAAAUGCGUAGAGAUCGGGAGGAAUACCAGUGGCGAAGGCGGCCUUCAGGACUGACACUGACACUGAGGUGCGAAAGCGUGGGUAGCCAACAGGAGUAGAUACCCCAGUAGUC